UGCACGUACAUUACGAGUAUUUAUUAAUUUAUACUUGACAACGUAUUACUAACGAGUCAUAUUCUGACCGUAUAUAAUCUAUUAUUGAAUUUUAUGCGAAUAAAAUAUUUUACAACUACAAUAUUUUAGACAAAAUUCAAUAAUAGGUUUGAAUUCGCGCCGUUCGAAACGCGCACUAUAUCUGUGAUUUACCGCUCUCCCGCCUCGCGCCGAGAGCGGCGCACUAUAUAGUUAGUUGAUUCUCGGAAGAACAUUCCUUUUUGCUAUUGCGACUUGUGCUUUAACAGCAAAAAACCUCUCUCGCUGACAAAUCGUUGAUUCUCAACAAUUAUCAGUGCCACAUACUCGAUAAUCACCAGUGCUAUUGAUUAAUCAACUCAAUUGUGUAAGUUUAAUGUAUUAUUUUUAUAUAUGUAUACGGAAAUUUCGGUAAUUUGUUUAUAUACGUCGAUAUUGUGGUUCGAACAAUCGCGCCUUUACAUAGCUUUUUUUGCGGCAGUCUAGCUUUCGGGUUUGAAGUUUUAGCUUUUGAAUUUUUCUACAACCAAUUUAUUUUGCAGUGAUUUAUCUUUGAUAAAAUUAAUUUUUUUGUACGCAUUCGUGCUUUUUCACAGAUACAGAUAUAGUCGAAAAGUGCCGCCACGGUUCUCGAGGAGGCUGUUCACCGUCGUCCUUCAUCGAAGGAAGCUGUCCAGCCGGUCCAGGGAGAAGGCUCAGCUAAUCGACUACUUCUGGACAUUUUUUUAUCUUUUCUCAUAAUAUCUGCUCAUACGGUUCAUCCUGUCACUCAUACUUCUUCUCUCAUACUUUUUCUCAUUCUCUCUCUCUCUCUCUCUCUCUCUCUCCCUCUCAUUAUUCAUUCUAUUACAUAUAUAUACCUAUAUUAAUAAUUUUUAAUUUUUACUAAUUCUCUCUGCCACUUUCUGUUUUCGAACCCAUCUUCGACUCUACAUCAGGAUCAACCACUGGUUACAACCCUUACUGUACCUGGGAAAUAUAGAGCUUGCUGAAAACAAUAGCUGCGGAGGACCACAUCCAAUCUACACGGACAACAGGUGACCUGACAACUUGCUUCAGACAACUACCCAGGAGUUCCAGUUAUUAAGAACCUCAUCUUUCAACGAUAACUGCAAUAGCUGGAUUUGCGAUGCUCAAGAUGCAGCAUUCUAUGGUGUCUGCUUUAUCGAAGACUGGUGCCAACGCACGAACCAGAGAGCUCAUCUGCUCCGAUGGAAAAAAGAAGAAAAGUACCCUAGUGCUCUAGAUUAGGGAUUAGAAUGUGAGGGGUUAGCUUCUCUUAGGAACGUCGUCUUAAUUAACCUUUGGAAAGAAAUGCCCGAAACAGCAGUCUUUCCAAGACUAUGCGUACAAAUUGUAAAGCUGGAUACAAAUACGUUGUAAAACUGAAUACAGAAGUAUGAACAGUUUUAGUGUAUACGUAACUUUAUUCAGUUAUCACGAAUAACUCUGUACCAACUCCCAGCUUUACAAUUUUUGACUGUAAAGUCUUGGAAAGAUCCUUGCAGUAAAUUUCUUAGCUGCAGUAAUUAAUAUAA
Molecule: long non-coding RNA, 1556 nt
Filed under: Nasonia vitripennis (jewel wasp)
Lineage: Eukaryota; Metazoa; Arthropoda; Insecta; Hymenoptera; Pteromalidae
Description: uncharacterized LOC116738624
Source: RNAcentral